CGGAAGGAGAAGCGUCGAGCGCAGGCAAGAGAUCACUGCGGUGCUCACAUGUAGCCACUGUGAACACAGCUGGUGGUAUCUCUUUUCUUCGCUCUGACCUG
Molecule: microRNA precursor, 101 nt
Filed under: Capitella teleta
Lineage: Eukaryota; Metazoa; Annelida; Polychaeta; Capitellidae
Description: microRNA cte-mir-317 precursor
Gene: cte-mir-317
Source: miRBase by way of RNAcentral